AGGCAGCAGUAGGGAAUAUUGGUCAAUGGAGGCAACUCUGAACCAGCCAUGCCGCGUGUAGGAAGAAGGCGUUCUGCGUUGUAAACUACUUUUGAUUGGGAACAAAUGACUCUUGCGAGAGUAGCUGAGUGUACCAAUAGAAUAAGCCACGGCUAACUACGUGCCAGCAGCCGCGGUAAUACGUAGGUGGCAAGCGUUGUCCGGAUUUAUUGGGUUUAAAGGGUGCGUAGGCGGCUUUUUAAGUCAGUGGUGAAAGCCGAUCGCUUAACGAUCGAACUGCCAUUGAUACUGAGAGGCUUGAGUAUAGUUGAGGUAGGCGGAAUUGACAGUGUAGCGGUGAAAUGCAUAGAUAUUGUCAAGAACACCAAUUGCGAAGGCAGCUUACUAAAGUAUAACUGACGCUGAGGCACGAAAGUGCGGGGAUCAAACAGGAUUAGAUACCCUGGUAG
This 449-nucleotide ribosomal RNA is filed under the name uncultured bacterium. RNAcentral describes it as "bacterial SSU rRNA". It matches the Rfam family "Bacterial small subunit ribosomal RNA", at positions 346 to 793 of the family's 1533-position model. The record is from RNAcentral.